CCGCCCGGCUGCCGGAGCGGCGGGGCCCGCAAGGCGUGAGGAGGGACGCGGGUGCUGCGGGGUCUUGUAAUUAGAGGAUUUUACCCUUCCCGGCUGCUUCCGUUCUCUUGUAGAAGCUAGAGUUUGGCACGUCUUUAACCUUAUUUCGUCACGGAUAGAAACAGCAGCUCAGGAAGUUAAAACGCACUGUGUACAUUUGAGAUUCUUGAAAGUGAUUAAGAGAGUCCCAGGAAGGAAUUUUCAUUACAGUAUUUUAACAACGCAGAGAAGAAAACAGAAGCAUGAGCUACUCCAGUUUCAACAAGAUGAAAUACAAGCUUUUUGCAGCAUGUGUAGAUCAUUUUAGAGCAUGCUUAUCUCUCCGCCAUGUGCUCAAAGGCCACGUGUAUCUAUGGAGACUAUAUGUCACUUUCUGGAACCAUGCAGACUCAGUAAGCAGAUGCCGACAGCAUCCCAUCCACAUCCUGUCUGUAUUCAGAAGUAUUCUUGAAGAAGAUACCUAUAGGACCUGGGAGCUGACUUUUAAGAUCAUGAACAUGUUCGGUAUUUCAUCUGAAGGAAAAUACUCAGUGUCAGUGCAUAUAGAAAAUGUGGUAAAAACCAUCCCUUUAUACAGUUGAUUUCAUUUUUAUUACUUCAGUUGGGUUGCUAAUACCAAAAAUAGUUUGAAAAUGCUUUCAAAUAAAGAUAGAUAUUCAAUGUUU
Non-coding RNA from Phalacrocorax carbo (great cormorant), 704 nucleotides. The record is from RefSeq and is a predicted model, not a curated record. NCBI's taxonomy places the organism in Eukaryota, Metazoa, Chordata, Aves, Suliformes, Phalacrocoracidae.